Molecule: RNA transcript, 7360 nt
Organism: Ahaetulla prasina
Lineage: Eukaryota; Metazoa; Chordata; Lepidosauria; Squamata; Colubridae
Gene: PDXK
Gene name: pyridoxal kinase
Exons: 12
Source: RefSeq, a predicted model, not a curated record
AAAUGACUGCAGCUAUUUCAUCUUUUCUCCCUUAAUGUUGUUUCUUGAGAGAAAAUGAUGGAAGUGGAGACAAAAAGCAGAAGGCUACAAUUGGAGGAUGAAUAUAUGAGCAUUUUGUGAAUGAAUCAAGUUGAUCACACAUUCCAACCAGUUACCUGCCUUUUUUUCCAAGAAUGGCUAUUCACACUAUUCCUCUCCAGAACCUGUCAUUAUUCUAUGCUCCCCAUCCUCAGUCCCCUCCUUCACUUCUAUUUUGUUUUCCCUCAAUAUUUGUUGUGCUUUGCAAAUGUGCCAGGUAUUUAGGUGAUUCUCAGAGAUCUCAUGGGCCCUGAAAUCAAUUCAGUUGGUUUCUAUACUACAACCUUAUGAUCAGUUUUACAUUCUUCUAAUCUAGUGGUGUGGUGCUCACCUCACCACACCUUGUGACUAUUAAUCCCAUAAUUUAUUUGUGUAAGGGUCAUCUAUUAGUUCUUUGUCUCCAACCUAUUUACCAUGGCCAUACCAAGAGUUUGCUAAUUCUGUCUGUGCUUCCCAACAAACAGAUCCUUUAUAUCCUAUCGUUGCUAUCAAAACCCAAUACAUGCAUGAAAGAAAAUGGUAGCGUAAACUCAUAUUCCAAACAAGAGCCUUUGAUUAUUGGACACAGUCUGAAUGGACCACCCUGCUAAUCUAUUUCAGUUAUCAGAGUGCCUCAGAUGACUACGAUUGUCAAAUCAGGGCUGCAAAAGUCCAGACGACCCCUUGCUGGCAGCAGAGAAAUAGAGCUGCUGCAUCCUGUAUCACCACCUGAAAGCCUUGGCAGAUGGGGGUGGGAUCUAAUCUUGGGCAAAGCCCUGCACUUGCUGUGCUGUGUCUUUAAAAUGUGUCACAAGACGCCUUUAAAAUGUGGCUUCUCUCGCAUCCCCCGCGUUCAGCGUCGUCCACGAGCAGCACUGGGAGCUCCAGCACUGCCGUGACCUGGGAAGGUGAAGGCGGACGGGAAGCUCCGCACGGGGGCGUUUCGGCGUGAGAGUUCUGUUUUUCCCAAGUGGGACGUGGGCACCCGCAGCAGCGCCUCUGCCGUAGAUGCCGCACGUCGGCGGCUGACUGGUCACGCUGGCGGCGGCGGAGGCGGCAGCAGCAGCAGCAGCAAACCGACGGGGAGGGGGGGAAUCGCCGUUCCUGCCCUCCCCUCCCCCUCCUCGUGUGUCCUCCGAGGCAGCCGCCUUCUUGCUCGAGCCACUCCCUCCCGCUGCAGGGCGGAGUGUGAGGGUGCCUUUAAAUUGGGUGCGAGGGAGCUGCUGCCUGCUCAGUCUCAUCUGUGAUGUAAGGAGAGAUUUUAGGUGUCUAAGCCGAUCGCCUGACUUCGCCUGUUAUUUUCUGCCGGGCACCCUUUCUCUCCGCCACUCCGCCGCUGGGUAAAUGUGCCCUUAAACCACUUCCGCCGCCGAGCAGCCCUUGGCCCGGACCUCGUCUCUGUCCCUCUGCCCAGCUUGACCUGCUGGUGCGCGCUCCGCUCCUUGCUCUCCCGGGUGCGCAGGCAUGGAAGAGGAGGAGGAGUGCAGGGUGCUCUCCAUCCAGAGCCAUGUCGUCCGGGGCUACGUGGGCAACAAGGCGGCGACUUUCCCCCUACAGGUGUUGGGCUUUGAAAUAGAUACUGUGAACUCUGUCCAGUUUUCAAAUCAUACAGGUUAUGAUCAUUGGAAGGGACAGGUAUUAAAUUCAAAUGAACUUCAUGAACUGUAUGAAGGACUGAAACUGAACAAUGUGAAUCAUUACGACUAUGUACUUACUGGCUAUACCCGAGAUAAAUCAUUCCUUGCAAUGGUGGUUGAUAUUGUUCAAGAGCUGAAGCAACAAAACUCCAAUGUGGUCUAUGUGUGUGAUCCUGUGAUGGGUGACAAAUGGAGCGGGGAAGGCUAUAUGUAUGUUCCAGAGGACCUCUUUCCAGUGUAUAAAGAUAAUGUGGUACCUGUAGCAGAUAUAAUAACACCAAAUCAGUUUGAAGCUGAGUUACUUACUGGCAGGAAGAUACAUACUGAAAAAGAAGCAAUAGAGGUAAUGGAUGUGCUCCACAAUAUGGGACCAGAAACGGUUGUAAUCACCAGCUCAGACCUUCAGGCACCUUCAGGAAACGAUUAUCUGAUUGCGUUAGGAAGCCAAAGGAGAACUACAGCAGAUGGCACUAUAGUGACACAAAGGAUCCGAAUAGAAUCUCCCAAAGUAGAUGCUGUCUUUGUUGGAACAGGAGACCUAUUUGCUGCUAUGCUCUUGGCUUGGACUCACAAACACCCAGACAAUUUUAAGAUGGCCUGUGAAAAGACAGUAUCAGCAAUGCAACAUGUUUUGCAAAGGACCAUCAAGAGUGCAAAGGCCCAAGCUGGAGAAGGAAACAAACCUAAUUCAGCCCAGCUGGAACUGAGGAUGGUCCAAAGCAAAAAGGACAUAGAAAAUCCAGAGAUAAUAAUAACUGCUACUGUGUUAUAAAGGUUGUGUAUCUCCUAACAACGCACAAUGUAUUGAUGUCCUCAUUUUCUUUCCUGUAAAUUGUGAUGUUUGCCUUAGAUCUGUGACAGAAACCUGACUUCCAUGAAAUAGUGCCCAGCAUAGAUGAGAUCCACUACCAAGCACAUGUGCUGGCCUUGCUUGAAUUAAGAAGAGAAAAAAGUUAGAAUAAUCACCAAGCCAGUACAACUGUAACCUUAGCCAGGCAUCCAGCUAGUCUGGAGAACAGCAAAAUAUUCCUUUUGGAGGAAAGAAAAGAUCCCUUCAAAUUCAACCUUCAUCUUCAUUUUAUAAUAACUUUUAAAUAUUACUUUAAAAUGAUGUAUUUUAAUACUAAAUAUUAUUUCUGUGUUUUUAAUUCUGUGCUGGCUAAUUUUAAUCAUUCCCCUAAUUUUGAGGAAAAUUGAGCAAACACUGUUGCUCUUGCUAGUAUAGACAUUGAUUCUGAUGUUUGAGACUCAACAGGAAGUCACUAAAGAAAAGGAAAUAUAAAAGUUCAGUAUGCUAUCACAGAUCAUUGGUAGUUGCUGAGAUUUUUAAUUGCUUUACAUUAUCUAUACAGUAAAUCUACAUAUUGCAUAGAACAGUGAUUCGGUUUUCCUAUGACUGUUUUUUCUUUUAGCAACCAGUUCCAAAUACUUUUGGAAUCAAAAGUACACAAAGCUACUAACAAAUACUUCAUAUAUUGGCAUAUUCAUUUAAAGGAAAGAAUAUUUCAUAGAGUAGUUGUUGUUUUUUUAUUUGCAUUUAUAUCCCGCCCUUCUCCGAAGACUCAGGGCGGCUUACACUAUGUUAAGCAAUAGUUGUCCUACUUACAGGCCCAUCCAUGUCAUUUUUAUUCUCAACUGAGUUUCAGUAUAUACACUAUAGAUGACUGUUCCCCAAGUAUACAUGUCAGGCACCAGCACUAUCUUCACACAUCUGCUUUUAUCUGGAAUGAGAUUUAAGGAAAGAAGAUGCAUAUCCAAUCAUCUCUCUGUGUCCAAAAAUCCAAAGAGCAGUGAAAUGGAUCAGAAGAGAGACAAGGAUUUACUAUAGCCAUAGGUAGGUUUGCAUAACACACAGGCAUCAAAAUUUCUAAAUAAAGCCUGCAGAAUGCUACUUUUUUUUAAUGCUGUGCUCUCACAUGGAAUCCUACCAUUCUUUUGUGGGAACUCAGGAUGAGAUAAUUGUAUGCCAUUUUGGCAUUACAAAAAUGCAGUUAUGUGCUUGGCACUUUCACAAUUGUGUGAGAUUGUAUAAUGAUAUCCACCAUUUUUAAAGGUUACCAGCCCCUGUCAUAAACCAUAGCAAAUUCACGGGCUGAAUAAUACAAACAAUAAAAUGGUUUCUUGGCUUGGCUUUAGCCAUUAUCCUAAAGUGUGAACCGAAUUAUGUUUUUCAGCAUCAGCAAUUUAAGAUACUUUAAUGCAAGAAACUAGACUCAUUCUUUCUCUCUCUCUCUACACACACACACACACACACACACACACACACACGGAAAGACAUAUGGUUACAAAGCCUAGCUGGAUAAGAAACAUGCUGAAACUAAAGAAGUUAAAUAGUGUGUAUUUUAAUAUUGGCAGAAGUAUAACCAUGUUGACAUAUAACACUAAAUUGAAUAACUACUAUUACUGUACUUUUUAGUAGUUGUUUUAACAAAAAUGAAUGAUGGUGAUAAUUUCUUGCUUAUAUGUAUCCCACUUUUAGCAAGGACAAUUUCAGUAUAUCUGUGAAACUAAUUUUUAUUAAUAUGGUUUGAAUUGUUUGUGAUUCAGAAGAAGCUAAUUAUGUUCUUAAAAAAUGUGUAACUGAAUUUUAACAUGCUUAGAUUUUAAACAAAAUAGCUUCAGAAGACAACAAUGUUGUGCACAGAAAUCAAUAGCAGGGAAAUAGUUAAGCAAUUAAUUAUCUUCCUGAAGUUUUUUUUUUCUUUAAAAUAUACUGAGUGGGGAAACUCUACUACAUUUGCACAUUCUGUAAUCUUUUACUAGCUCCCCAGCAGGACCAAAAUUCAUAUAAAAUGAAGCUUAAAUUAACUUUAAUGUAUUCAAUUCUUUCUCACAACCUUAAACAUAAUAACAUGUAGAAAGUAAGUAGAAAUACUUGUGUGAAAACAUACAAAUCCUUGCAUUUUAACAUGCUUUUGAGAAGCAUGUACAUAUAUUAAAACUGCUUUCUUUUGAUAUUUCUUUACCAAAUUGUAUUCAAAAUGCAGCAAAUCUGAUCAACGCAAUACUUUACAAAGAAUUUAGAGGACCAAGAUUUCUAGCUAAAGAUACUGCCUUGUUGAGUUCCCUGAUCUGUAAUUUUGACUGCGUAGUGUUAAUUAUUGUCUUUCUGAUACUGUGAUCAUACUUGUUUCUUGAUUCAUAAUAUAUAGCAAGAAAGAUUGUAAUAAAAUUCUCUUUACUCAAUACUACUGUGCAUAACUAUGGUUAGAUUUUCUUUUUGUUGUAAGGUACGUCAAACUUAAACAAAACCAGAUUAGUUUUAUAGUGCUGUUAAAUCAUGUGGCCUUUAUUUUAUUUUAUUUUCAUUACUUGAUAUGAACAUGUGGAUGAUAAUUGAGGAUCAUAAUGUGAAUGGUGGCUGAGGAUCAUUAUCAGCAUGUGAAAUGUCUAAAGAGAAUCAACAGUCAAAUGAAUAUGAGUUCAAACGAAGGGGCCAAUCUACCCUGAAGAAUGAGCAUUUUCAUUCUAAAGUGGGAUGGUUAUCUGUAGCCUUUAAUUAAGUUGUAUGGAGAAGAACUAUACAAAGCUUUGGAUGUUUUAUUUGGAAUAUUCAUGAACACAAAGAUUGCACUUGUUUGCAGUGCAUUAAAUCAGCCAUUUUGUUUCCCAAGACUAAGCAGCUGUUUUAAAGUAUUGCAUGGAGGACCAAAAGUACCUUUUGGAGAUCAAUUCCAAAAGACUACAUAGCCCUUGUAAUGAGGUUUUUAUCUAUAUAAAGUGUGGAUAACAUGGAUGAUGAGCAUUUCAUUACAUAUUCUGCACAUCUAUCUAGUUCGAUAUGUUUACAGAGUAAGGUAGGGAUAUUCAAAGUGACUGAAUCUACAACUGAACUUUAGAAAUUGCCAGAUGUGUAACAAUGAAUUUAAUCUUUUCCCCUGCUUCUGAUCAUUGUUGAUUUGGUAGCUCUAAUCCCAGCAAUAGCCCAUGGCCUUUAGAUUAAGGCUAAGGGAUAGGGGGUUGAUCAAUGCUUGCUACUACAUUAAAUUACCUUUGCACUCUCACAUUCAGUACGAAGAUAGUUAGGAAAAAGUAUACAGAAACUGACUAUAUUAUUGAUCAGUUAUUCUGAUCUGUGAGCUGCUUACACAAAAAUCUGCAUUUACAAGAACUGGAAACUUCUAAUGGGAAAAGAAUACUAGAGCCAGCAAUAUCAACUAAUUAAUAGACCUUUCUCAUUCCAUUUUUUCCCAAGAGUCUCCUGCUUUUAAACUUGAAAUGUUGUGGACCAUGUCUUUGUGAUGUAAACUGUGGCCUAAUAUUUCUCCUUUCCAAAUGGAUCAUAGUUAGAAAUCAUCCUGUACAAACUUAAAUCAUAUUAAUCACAAGGUAACAUGACUUGGAGUGCUAAUUGAACACAGCUGCAAUUUGAGAACCUUAUUGAUCUAUUUCAUUCAAAUGUAAAACACUGUGUUAGGUAUUGAGUAGUUAAUAGAUCACCUGCAUGGGAAAUGGCAUCAGAAUUCCAGCUUAAUUAGAAUACGGAACUUCCUCUUUUAGGGAUGCUACACAUGCAAAUGCAUUUGUGCUUUCUCAGAUUUUUAAGAAGUGUGAAAUUUAGUCCUUAAAAUAAAGCCUAAAAGAAUGGAAGUGGCAUUUAUGGUAAAAUUGGCAAAAUAUAAAAAGCACAUAUAAUAGCAAAGAAACACAUUACCCUCUUGCUUCCAUUUGGAUCAAAGUGAGGCUAUGGAGAAGGGUGUGAUAUUUUAGCCAAAUGCAUAUGCUAUUUUCCAAAAUUCUAGCCAUAGGUCUGGAUGAUGCCAUCCAAAAACAAUUGAUACCUGUGCAACUGGUACUGGUACUCCAAGUUUGCCUGCCUUUUUGAGCAGAAAUGGAUUCUUGAACUUAAGACUUGUAUUAAAAUUCAUGGUUUGGGUGCAUUUAAAGAACACAAAAUAGAGGAAGCACAUAAAAGAUACUGCUAAAUUGUGCCAUAUGUUAAUAAGUGGAAAUUAUGUGUAUCUUUGACAUAUUGCCUUUCAUUGCAUUGCUAAUUAGAAUAAUAGUUGUGUCUAGAAGAAUGUGGCAUGUGUACUCUGUGUGUGUCUUGAAGUUCUAUGUUCAUGAAAUUAACGUAGAAAUUGAAGGCUUAGCAGUGCAGGCCUUCAGCAAGGGAAAUAAAAUUAUAUAUUUUUAUAGACAGUUGUACAAUUUUAGGUCUCAGCUACAGUACAUCAUAUCAGCUUCUUCCAAGAAUGUAAAGCUGCAAGAUUGGAUAGAAGAGGGUGGCUGUGGAAAUGACAAAGAGUUCGAUCAACCCCAACAGCCCUAGAUGGAUUUAAUUAAAGAUGCCUUUGAAAUAUAUUUUUAGCUCUAAAAUAUUAAACAGAGAAUAUUUGCGAGCAAACUUUCUAUGUCUAUGACAUUUGUGUAGUGCUUUGUAUUGAAGAAAUCAAAUGGUUCUAUGUUUAUACUUCUUAAUUGUUCUUGAGUUGUAGGGACAAUAAGUAGACAAAUACUUUUUAUUCCGGAAAAAAAGAAUCUAUGUGAUGUGCAGUUGUGUAUAACUGUUAGUGGCCACUGUCCCUAUGAAGAAUGUUGUUUGUAUAUUUUCUGGUCUGGCACAUGUGACUUUUAUCCAUUUUGUAGUAAAGUUUACAUGCUAAAAUAUGUAAUAAGUAGAAAGAUAAUAAAGUCAAUGAACAAUCUAAGUGAAGACCAAGAUU